RNAcentral lists this long non-coding RNA (1567 nucleotides) under Theobroma cacao (cacao). Its description in RNAcentral is "long non-coding RNA (TCAC_LNC000921)". Lineage: Eukaryota; Viridiplantae; Streptophyta; Magnoliopsida; Malvales; Malvaceae. The record is from RNAcentral.
AACAAACAACGAGGUUUAUGAUUUCUUGAAAAGUUUGGCUCGUGCCAAAAUCAUUCUCAUACUUAGUUAUUAGGGAUACCUUGACCGAGGGCUAUCCUAACCGAGUCCGCCAAGGUUGUUAAAAAGUUAUGUACACAUAAAUCAUGUUUUUAUUUUGAAAACAUAGCUGUUCCUUAGCGUUGGCUGAGUUCACCCUCACGUGGUGGUUUGGCUUGAAGUGAACUGUAAAGUUUUAACCUCAGGAGUUAUCCAACCGUGCCUCUCAUACUGAGGUAUGAAUAUAAUAGGGUUACUGUGCCCCUUUAAUAGGCUGGUCCACGGAGCCCGUCCACUGCAGCGACCAAUUUAUAACCCACUAAUUCAAUAAAAUUCAACAGCAUGACAUGGCAAUUUUUUUGUUUUAUAGCAUCUCAAGGCAAAUCAACAAUUCAUACUUUUUCAGCACAUUUACCAAAUCCAGCCACUGAUGCCAAUAUUAUCAUAAGCCAUUCAAUUCAAACCAUGAUUUAUAACACAACAAUUAGUCUCCAAUUACUCCAUUUUCAAAACCAUCUUUCAAUUUCAAGACAAUUUUAUUAAAUCAUUUCAUUUAAUCACAUUUUGUUUAUAAAACAUAAACAUUUACCAUUUAAACUCAUUUUUCAUAAAAUCACAAAAUCGGAUAAAAACCACUUUAGAUAAUUAAGAUGAUAGUAAGGUUACUCACUAUAAUGGAAAUCAAGUUCCGAGUACUCCGAUUCUUGAUCCUCGGGUACUAUCUCUUUACUUUUGCUAGAAUGCUCACCACCUAGACAUAAUGCACAAUAAGCCAUUUACUACAUUUGUGAUAAAUUGUUAUAAAACCAAUUUAGGCUCUAUACUAAUGCAUGAAAUGGGAUGUGAAAUUCUCGGGUAACUAUCUAAAUACGGUGUUCAAUAUAAAUUCAAUUAUGUACCUAAAUAAAAUGGUAUUGGCCUAAUUCGAUCUAUCACCCGAUUAAUUGGUCAAUCCAUCCAAUUCAACUCCAAAUAAUUUCAUUUUUCUCCCAAUACUCCAAAUCAUUAAACACAAAUUAAAGAACUUGAAAUAUGGCAAAAUCAUCCUCACAUUUUCUCUUGAAAAAUUCGGCCAUGGUGGGUGCAUCAACACUAUAAUUUUUCAAGCUUGAUUCUCACACCAUAAAUCACUAAUUUCUAACCAAAUCACUUGAAAUAAAAUCAAAAUCAUCAUCAAUAUUCUACAUGGAGAAUUCGGCCAAUGAUGGGUGAUGGGAGGAAGUGAAUUUUUCUUGUUGGCUUUUCAUGUUACACAUCACUAACUAACUAAAAACACUAGAAUAUCUUAAAAUCUAACCAAAACAACCAUCAAAAUCUCUCUCUAAGUGUUCAGCCAGCAAGAGACCCAUCAUGAUUUCAUGUGAUUCAACCAUGAAAAAUAAGAAAAAAUGCUUAAGAAAGAGAGAUCUCAAGCUUAAUUGAAAAAUCUUACCUUUUUUUCACUUGUUUCCUUGAAUUUUCACACUUUUCCCUUGAAUUUUUCCACCUAGGGUUUUGUUCUUCCUUUUCUUCCUUUGUUCUUGCUUUGGCC